Long non-coding RNA from Rosa rugosa (rugosa rose), 2427 nucleotides. RefSeq lists it as uncharacterized. The record is from RefSeq and is a predicted model, not a curated record. NCBI's taxonomy places the organism in Eukaryota, Viridiplantae, Streptophyta, Magnoliopsida, Rosales, Rosaceae. The transcript is spliced from 13 exons.
UCUCUCUUGCUGACUUCGCUCUCUUUCUCUCUCGCGCUUUCUGACUUUGCUUGCAACAUGUCUGGGGAGCAACAUGAUCACUUGGCUACUCCACCUCCACCACCACCACCCUUAGUAUCGCCGCAAUCCUCAUCGCCGAUUUGUUUCCGAUUGCCGCGCAGAGUCGCCUCAAAAUCCAAAAUCGGUUCUGUCGAUGACAUCGCGGUUAAUCUCAAUAGGGUUCUUGCCCUGUCUUGGCUAGACUCGGAGUUUGUGCUUGAGGCUCUGAGGAGGGAACGCCAAGAAUUUGCGGAGGAGUUGCAGCGCCGCAAAAUUCGCACUUUAAUGUCUAUGCGAUUUUAUGCAAAAGAAUCUUAGCAUUGUUUUGCUGCUGCUGUUCCUUUGUCUAUCGAUCAGUGUUAUCUUGCUUUUUUAUUGUUAUUCAGAUUUUAGGAACAGUUUGCAGGCGGAUUCUUCAGUUGUCUUGCAUUCGGGUCUGCUGUAGGAAAACUGAGGCAAUGAUUACGGAUUUUGCAGACAUUGAAUCGACACCACUGUUGACUGCAGGUUGACAUUCACAUUCCAGUCCAGUUGCAAAUCAGAGUUUCUUUAUUGAUAGAACCGUGUCAAUUGAAAGGUUUAAAACGGAACAGCAGCUAAACUGUCAAAGCUCUACAGUUUAAAAUCAAGGACAUAGAGAGAGAGAUAGCUGAUAUUCAGAAAAGGAGAUUCUGACCUCAUCAUCUCAGUACAAGGUAUUUUGAUCCAUUUCAAUUUGAUCACUUAUCAAGAACGAUCCACACAGAAAUAGAGAGAUUGGCUGUGAUUGUUUGCUUUGCUUUGCACAAAGACAUAGAGAGAGAGAUAGCUGAUAUUCACAAAAGGAGAUUGUCACCUCAUCAUCUGAGUACGAGGAGGUUAUUGUUUGGAACAGCACACCAGAGGAUCACAGGAUGAUUGUUACUGAUAUUCGAAUUAGAACAAAUCUCCUGAACAGAAAAUGAACCAAGUAUGAUGGUAGAGUUCGUGUAAGUUCAGAUUCAAUGAGUAAAAUAGAGGCUGAACUUGAAGCUGAAUUUCAAAGGUUGGGGCUAAACAGGAAUACUUCUACUUUGGAGAGAAGAUGAACUGAUCUUGAUGAGUAUGACGAAUUGGAAGAGCUGGAGUGAUCUGAUUGCCAAUAUAUGAAAUUAACAAUGAGUCCAAGCUGCUAUCAUCACAGUUGAAGGGGGUUAUCCCCUGGUGGAGAUCUUCCCUUCCUGUCCAAGACCAUGAGUUGUUAAGAAUGAAGAUCUAUUAGAGUUUUGGUGAAAAUUGAGAGCUUCAAAGCCAUUCACAAGCAGGAAAAAAUCAUUGAAGCUUCCUAUGGAGUCAUGAUUGCUCAGGUUGAUCUUGGAAAAAAUCAUUGAAGCUUCCUAUGGAGUCAUGAUUGCUCAGGUUGAUCAUGUAGCUUCUCAACUACUUGAAUCAAUGAUUGAAUACCCAACCCCAACACGUUGAGGAAAGGAUAUUUUUUCCUUGCCUUGGUGGUGAAUUGGACAGUGAGUGUAAUGAACCAGUUUCAAUGAAACCGUGUGCUUCCCCAUCAUAGACUACACACAAUCAAGAGGAGCUACUAGAUUGCAAAACACUAUCAGAGGUUUUAAAGAGCUUGGAAAAGAAGGUGCCUAACUUGAAAAUUUUCACCUAUGAACAAUUGGAUCAGUGAGCUGCCAUCUUCACUGAAUGUGAAGUGAGAAUGUGACACAGAAUGCAUUUAGAAGUGGGGCAGAAUAUUUAACCUGUGAAUGUUCUUUUCUGAUUUUGGGUUGGUUUCUUAUUUGAAUCCUCUUCGUUUGAUUUUUGUUAGUUGUUAGUUCAGUUAGGAAAAAAGCAAUUUACAAUUGUUAUACGAGUAGAAUGCAUUUAUACUACCUGCGGCAAAGCGUGGUAUCGUGAGUUAUGUUUAUCUCAGAUAUACUGCAUGUAUGUCAACAAUGGAAACUUGGAGUGGCAACUUCAUGGAGGUAUUCGUCACCAUAGAUAUCUCACUUUGCCUUUGAUGCCAACGUGUUGUUCUUAUUCAACAAGUCACAAGAUAUACUUUUUGCAGUCUGGCUUAUUUACACAACGCCAUUGAACCAAAGUUGAUGCAUCGAGACAUUAAGUGGAGGCUUCUUCUUGGCCACUAAGUACUUUGUAAAAGAAUAUCCGUUUGGGGAUGAGAAAGAGCAGUUAAUGACUUUGGUUUGCCAAAUCAAGUCUGACUGAUAAGAAAAUUGAAUUCAAGAGGGAGUUCCGUCCAGGUGAGGUACUGCUAAUGCCGCUGGAUGCAACUGUUGCACAGCUAAAACAGAAAGCUGAUUGUCUAGAGGGAUACAUAUUCUAUCACAGAACAAUGUGGUAAUGGAAAUCAAAGGCUUGGAGGAAUCAAAUGAUAUGGAAGUACUUUCUAGAGCAAUUCAAUCA